AGUGAAGCGGGAAAAGCUCAAAUUUAAAAUCUGGUGGUUUUGCCAUCCGAGUUGUAAUCUGGAGAAGCGUUUUCUGUGCUGGACCGUGUACAAGUCUCUUGGAACAGAGCGUCAUAGAGGGUGAGAAUCCCGUCCAUGACACGGACACCCAGUGCUAUGUGAUACGUUUUCAAAGAGUCGAGUUGUUUGGGAAUGCAGCUCAAAAUGGGUGGUAAGCUCCAUCUAAAGCUAAAUAUUGGCGAGAGACCGAUAGCGAACAAGUACCGUGAGGGAAAGAUGAAAAGCACUUUGGAAAGAGAGUUAAACAGUACGUGAAAUUGUUGAAAGGGAAACGCUUGAAGUUAGUCGCGUCUUACUUGACUCAGCCUUGCUUCGGCUUGGUGUAUUUCAUGUGAGACGGGUCAACAUCGAUUUUGACCGGCAGACAAGGGGAGUAAGAAUGUGGCACUNUUCGGAGUGUGUUAUAGCUUAUUCUCAUAUGUGUCGGUUGGGAUCGAGGACCGCAGCGCGCCCUUGUGGCCGGAGGUUCGCCUCACGUUACGCGCUUAGGAUGUUGGCAUAAUGGCUUUAAGCGACCCGUCUUGAAACACGGACCAAGGAGUCUAACAUGCUCGCGAGUGUUAGGGUGGAAAACCCUUGCGCAGAAUGAAAGUAAAAGUUGGGAACCUCCGCAAGGGGGCGCACCGACGCCCGGCCCAGAAGUUUACGGACGGUGCUGCGGUNGAGCGCGUAUGUUGGGACCCGAAAGAUGGUGAACUAUGCCUGAAUAGGGCGAAGCCAGGGGAAACCCUG
This 792-nucleotide ribosomal RNA is filed under the name Fuscoporia scruposa. Its description in RNAcentral is "Fuscoporia sp. CL-2018d partial large subunit ribosomal RNA". It matches the Rfam family "Eukaryotic large subunit ribosomal RNA", at positions 92 to 866 of the family's 3401-position model. The record is from RNAcentral. Lineage: Eukaryota; Fungi; Basidiomycota; Agaricomycetes; Hymenochaetales; Hymenochaetaceae.